AUGGAGAAAGCCAAUUGUAGAAAUACCGAGGCCAACCAGUGGUUUACUUUAAUGCUUACCAGGGACACUAAGGAAAUUUGCCAGUACAUGGAUUCUGUUUGGAAGAAUCAGAUCAAAGGAAGAAACACAGAGUGUCAGACCCUGGCACCUCCCAGAAUGCCCAACACAAACUCUGGCAGAUAUUCUACUCAUCAAUACUCCAUUCCACUUGGUAUUUGAGUCCUUUGAAAUUCGAUUUUAUUUUGUGACAAUGCUGACUUCUACUGAUGGUAGCCGACAUUAUGAGAAGAAUGAAUUGUGUACAUAGCGUUUGAUUUGUACUUCUGUGUGUUAUAAUAUGUCAAUGUAUAGUUGAGCGAUAAGACACCAGAGUGGGUUGGGAAAAUAAAUAGGAAGUUGUUGUCUGCGGCUGACUGUGUAAAUUUUCACACAGGGGGCCCUAAGGUCUUUGUAUCAGCACCUCAAGAAUCAACCUGUAGUCUGUCUUCUGUACCCUGAAAUGUCUUAGAAUCCAUGUGCUUAGUGAUAUUAGGAACAUUGGGUUACAAAGGUAAAGCCAGGUCUGGCCUAAAUGUGCAUUCAUCCUUUCUUGGAUUGUGAGACUUUUGGUGGCAGGAUUUGUGUUUUAUUUUCUCUGAAUCCUGCAGAAUGCUUAAUAGUAAAAUAAUGACAGUAAUAGUAAUGCUGGCAGCUGACAAUUGUUGAGUGUUCACUGUUAACCAAGCAAUAUAUUAAGCACCUUCUAUACAUUGUUUAAUCUUGAUUAUAAUUGUAGUGUUAUUAUUACUAACACCUUAUAGAUAAAGGAAUUUGAGGCUUAAAAUUUGCAUAACUUGCCCACUGUCAUGCAGCUGGUGUAGUGCAUUGAAUAGAUUCCCAUAAGAUACGUGCAAGCCAAGUCCUAAUCCUUGGUACUUGUAAUGUGACCUCAUUUGGAAAUAGGGUCUUUGUUUACAUAAUUAAGAAUCUUAAGAUGUAAUUAUCUUGGAUUUAGGAUGGGCCCUAAAUCCAAUGAUUGGCCUCCUUUUGAAAGAAAAGAGAGGGAGAUUUGAGAUACGUGCAGAGAAGAACCCUGUGUGAUGAUGAAGACAGAGAUUAGAGUGAUGAUGCAUCUACCAGAGAAGGAAUGCCAAAAAUUGCUGACUGCCGCCCAAAACUAGGAGAGGCAUUGAGUAAAUUAUCCCUCAGAGACUUCAGACUUGAUUUCAGACUUCUGGCUUCCAAAGCUGAGAAAAUAAUUUGUUGUUUUUAAGCCACUUAGUUUGUAGUAAUUUGGUCCAGUAGUUGUAGAAAACCAGUAUGGCUAGAAAGGGAUGGAAUUUAUACUCCAUUGUUGGAAACAUGGUCCCAAAGCCCAUGGUUUUGGCCCCAUUCUUUAUACGUUUCCAGUAUUUAUUAGACUGAUGUUAUGUUUACAAUAAAUAGUUAAUAAAUGGGGCUUUUUUUUUUUUUAACAGAAUCUUGCUCUUGUUGCCCAG
Molecule: long non-coding RNA, 1478 nt
Filed under: Callithrix jacchus (white-tufted-ear marmoset)
Lineage: Eukaryota; Metazoa; Chordata; Mammalia; Primates; Cebidae
Description: lncRNA (ENSCJAG00000081227.1)
Source: RNAcentral